CCUACGGGACGCAGCAGUAGGGAAUUUUCGGCAAUGGGCGAAAGCCUGACCGAGCAAUGCCGCGUGAGUGAAGAAGGCCUUCGGGUUGUAAAGCUCUGUUGUAAAGGAAGAACGGAUGGCAUAGGGAAUGAUGCCAUUGUGACGGUACUUUACGAGGAAGUCACGGCUAACUACGUGCCAGCAGCCGCGGUAAUACGUAGGUGGCGAGCGUUAUCCGGAAUUAUUGGGCGUAAAGGGUGCGCAGGCGGCAAGAAAAGCUUAAGGUGAAAGCGUGGGGCUCAACCCCAUAAAGCCUUAGGAACUAG
Molecule: ribosomal RNA, 305 nt
Filed under: uncultured bacterium
Lineage: Bacteria
Description: bacterial SSU rRNA
Rfam family: Bacterial small subunit ribosomal RNA
Source: RNAcentral